ACCAGGAACACCACUGAAACGUUUUGGAUUUAGGAAUACCGUAACCUCAUUUCCUAAUCCACACACACACACACAAUAUAAGACCCGCAGCUUACAUACUUACCGCUUGAUCACCGCUAAUUCUGGCGGUAAAUAGCGUGUUGUUAAGGUUUCAGUUCACACACAAAACAGAGCGUGGAAACGGAGGAGAUCGGAGGGCUAGCGGCCCACAGGCCCAGCAGCAACUCCUAUCACCAUUUUCUGUCGUGGGAGCAUGUUUACCCUCUUCCGCCGCCGCUCACUGGCGGCUUACGUCUACGGCCAUGUGCUGAACUCCCAUAAGGUCCACACUUCAACAGCUCCACUGCUGCAGGAAACCGGUCUCUACGGUUUCAACCACUUGAAAACUCCCAAAGGCUUCCGACGCUUUGUUGAGGACGCCAUAGAAAGGUCAAAUGAGCUCGUCACCUUUAUUUCUGGAAUGCCAUCUGCUCCGGAAAUUAUCGGAGCCAUGGAUGAGAUAUCCGACACAGUAUGUUCAGUUAUUGACUCUGCAGAACUUUGUAGAGCUACACAUCCAGACAGGUCAGUAUUGAUUUUGGAUUGAUGUUUUGUGACUGUUAUUGUUAUUUUGCUUAGUCUGUAAAAAUUUUCUGUUCACUUUGCAAUUAAGGGAAUUUGUUGAGGAGGCAAGCGAGGCGUCCCUGAGGAUUAAUGAAUAUAUUCAUGUGAGGCGGCAAGUGGUUUAUUUGCUCUCUUACCAUCUUUACAAGUUCUAUGUUUGUAAUUAGGAUAAGCAAACUGAUUAUAUGUCAAUCAGAUGAACAAACCAGAAUACAGCGGAUCUUAAUUAUGAAACCAACUAAGUUAAUUGAGCCAGCAGAUAAUGUGGGUUAACUAUUCCUUUCCUUCUUUACCUACUAUCAGUCACAAAAGGAAAAACUCAACGCAGAGGAUGUACAAUUGUCUUUUAUAUUGAUUCUCAGGGAGCAGGUUUAAGCUAAUUUUGUAAGAUUUGAAUGAUUGAAUUCAUUGGAUAGGUUCAACAAAAGUAUAAGGUAUUGAAGGCCAGAACAAGUACGUCUUACUUGAUGAUAUUCUUCACGAAGGCUAUAAAGCAGAAUUUUGGUUUUGUGACAUAGUUACAAAUUAUACCUAUUUUGUUUGACUGCUGGCAAUUAUGAUAUGUAAAAUUCUUUAAUUUGUGAAGAUUUUAUGGUUUCUUUUGAUUCAUUUCUUUUAUCAGUCAAAGUGAAUUUUUCUCUGUCAUGUAGCAUCUUAAUACAAAUCAUUGCCUGUACAUGGCGGUGGUAAAAGCUGAGCAGGAUUCCCAUUUGCUAAAUGAAGAAGCUCAAAGAGUAGCCCAUCAUUUACGUCUUGACUUGGAAAAGGCUGGCAUUCAUCUGCCUAGUGAACAGUUGGAUCGAGCUAAUCAGCUUAAUAUGGAGAUUGUUCAGCUGUGCAGAGAGUCACAUGGAUAUCUUUCCAGCAUCACACAUCCCAAAAAAGUUACACCAUCUUGCUAGGCCUAUCUAUCGGACUACAUCAGGUGCAUUUGGGGGAUCAGCAUGGUCUAUGACAAACAUGAAAGAGAAGGGCUUUCGAUUACCAACUGAUCCAAAUACUCUCUCCUCUAUUCUGCAAUGGGUAUCAGAUGCUGAGAUUAGGAAAACAGCUUAUAUACAAGGAAACUCUGCCCCGCUUGGAAAUCUUGGUGUGCUCGAUAAGCUUAUUGCAGCUCGUCAUGAGUUUGCUCAGAUUAUGGGUCAUAGUUCCUAUGCAGAUCUUGCUGUACACUCAAGUAUGGCUUCAUCACCUGAUGUUGUAUUAUCAUUUUUGCUUGAAAUGAGCGAAAUAGUUAGACCUAGGGCGGAUGAGGAGUUUAAGACAAUUUGGAAUUUCAAGAGAGAGAGAAGUGGCCAGCUCUAUGGAGACUUGGAGCCAUGGGAUGAAACAUACUUUACCGCUAUAAUGAAGUCUGCAGCUUAUGAUUUAGAUUCCUCGGUAUAUUCUGCAAAACCUGCAUGCAUUGUAGUUUGUUAUAAUUAUCCUCCAGUAAUAGAUGUGUUUUAUAUUCCGUUCCUACUAUAGGCUAGCUUCUUAUUGUCUAUGUAUUUUGAUACUGUUUAUACUGUUAAACCAUGAAUGAGCAAUUAUUAAUACUGGUGCAUAUGUUUAGCUUUUGCCUUUAUACUUGAACAGUGGGAUAGGAUUCAUGGAAACUCAACAUACAAAGCCUACCUGCCCCCAAGCAAGUUGUUAUUCUGUUUUGUUUUGCUUGAUCAUGACUCAGUAGAUUGGUUUUGGAACCACGACAUUUCAGCACUGGUUAUUUUAGUUUAAAAACUUGCAAAACUUAAUGGGGACUUAAAUGCAAUUAAGUCAAUAGGUGAGAAGGGAAGAAAUUGAUUUGCCUUAAUGUAGAUUUGGAACAAAUAAGGGAGGCUUAGAACAACUAUUUAGAUGAUUGGUUGAGACUGCUCGCAUCCAGACUUUUAUUAGUAGCAAAGGACUGGGUUUCUGUUUGUACCUUAUCCUGGUACUGAGAAGGGAAAUUUGACUUAUUCCUUUAGCUGCUAAUAGUAGAUUAAGGACUUCCACUUUUAGUCAUUCAAAAACUUUAGUCAACAUUAAGAAAACCUAAUUAUAAAAUGAUGGUGUAAAUUUAAUAAAUGAACUAUCCACUUUGCAUAUUUAAGUCUUCCAAUCCUUGUAAGGAUGCACAGGUGGGUGCAUUGGCACCAACUAAUAUCUUUAUUGUAAAUUGUUGGUAACUUUUGCCCAGUAGCUGGAAUGCUGCUUAUUAUUUGUUGUUUGCAUUGCCUACAUUUUUAGCAAUUGCAUAAUAUAAGAAAUAAAUAGAGCAAAAGUCAUCGUCAAAUGCCUUUGUGCAUGUAAGAUGGUUGACAAUAGGAUGGCUUUAAUUGCUAAAGCUAUUCCACUUGUUGCUAUGUGUGAUUUCUGCAGUCCCAUAUGUUGCUAUAUAGAUACUUUGUUGUGUUUGCUUAAAUAUUUGUUCAAUUACCUUAUUCUCUUCAAAUUGUAAAUAGUAGGCUCUUUAUUUAAAUUAUAUGAUCGGCUCUAUCCAUUAAGCAGGUUGUUGCAUCAUUUUUUCCUUUAUCCCAAUGUCUUGAGGGCUUGAAAGUUCUUGCUGAGUCGUUGUUUGGUGUGACAUUUCACCAUAUUCCUCUUGCCCCUGGUGAAUCAUGGCACCCGGACGUCAUUAAAGUAGCCCUACACCACCCAGAUGAGGGUGACUUAGGGUACUUGUACCUUGAUUUGAAAUCGAGAAAGAAUAAGCAUCCUGUUUGUGCUCAUUUUGCUAUCAAAGGGGGACGUCGAUUAUCUGAAACAGAUUAUCAACUUCCUAUUGUAGCCCUAGUCUGCAACUUCUUGGGCUCUAAACCAGCAUCUUUACUCAACCACUGGGAAGUAGAAACGCUUUUCCAUGAGUUUGGACAUGCACUUCAUUCAUUGCUUUCCAGAACGGUAUCUGAUGAAUGGGAUGGUAGUUGACUAGUUUUUACUUUGUUUUUCUUAUUUGAAGUGAUUGUUUGCCCUUGAACCUUGAUGAUCUGGUAUGCAGGAUUACCAACAUUUUUCAGGGACCAGAGUUGUUAUCGAUUUUGCUGAGACACCAUCCAAUCUCUUUCAGUAAGUGAAAUUCUCAUUUAUUCUUGCCUAACUGCUAGAGUUGGGGAUUAUCUGCUAAAUUCUUAUAGGCAAUUCUCACUUAAUGCAUUACAUUCUAUCAUCCUUUUUUUUUUGUGCUUUCUACAUUAAUGCUGCCAUUUUUUGGUUUGUUGGAUUGUGAUGGCGCUGAUAAUGAAAACUUUGAGGAUAAUUACUUCUUGUUUAUGUUGUCCACCAAUAUCAUCACGGACAUUGAUGUUAAAUUAUAGGUAAACAACUUUAGGUGAUAUAGGUCAAAGUCAUCUCAUAAAAGUCAGUCAUCCUUUUAGUUGGUUUUCAAAUUAGGUACUAUGCUUGGGAUUUUCGGAUCCUGAAGACAUUUGCUAGGCAUUAUUCUACCGGUGAUGUAAUACCUGAAGAUUUGGUGAAAUCCAUGAGGGGAGCCAAAGAUAUGUUUUCUGGUACUGAGUUGCAGCGACAGAUAUUUUAUGCUUUAAUUGACCAAAAGUUGUUUGGGGAAGAGGCAUCCUCCAUGAGGGAUACUGCUUCACUUGUAGCAGAAUUAAAAAGACAACAUACCAGUUGGAAGCAUGUUGAUGGCACACAUUGGCACACCCGAUUUGGUCAUCUUGCAUCAUAUGGGGCAGGAUAUUACAGCUACUUGUAUGCCAAAUGCUUUGCUGCAACAAUAUGGCAAAAGAUUUGUGAAGAGGAUCCGCUCUCAUUAGCUGCUGGAUCUGCUAUCAGGCACAAGUUCUUGCAGCACGGAGGAGCCAAGGAUCCUGGUGAUAUAUUAAAUGAUCUUGUGGGAAAACGUAUCUUAAAUUCUCGUUAUGGCGGUAUAGUUCCUGACAUUACAAGCCUGAGUCAUGAAAUGGAGCUAAAGAAUUAGUAGUAUUAGCAAGAGCAACCUGAGGUGGUGACUGUACAAGAAUAGGAGUUAGAAAGCAAGAAAACACAUUUGUAGGUGUAUUAUGUACGAAACCAUCUGCCGCUAGAGUGAACAAGUGGCUGCUGCUACUCUGUCAUCUUGACAUUCCAAGUCACGGAGAAAGUUGACGCAUCAAGAUUACCACCACUUAUAGGUGUAUUCCGCGAGCGUCAAAACAAUUGAAAAAUAGGGCCUCGAUUGGUAUAGAGCUGUUGUAUCGUCUUGACGCCUUUCGAUUGUCUUGGCGACUGUAUGCAUGUACUUUUAUCAAUCUCUUAUUUAGACAUUAAAAUAAGAAAAACCGGCAUUGGCAGC
This is a non-coding RNA of Coffea arabica (coffee), 4858 nucleotides long. Lineage: Eukaryota; Viridiplantae; Streptophyta; Magnoliopsida; Gentianales; Rubiaceae. The record is from RefSeq and is a predicted model, not a curated record.